RNAcentral lists this ribosomal RNA (1438 nucleotides) under Triticum aestivum (bread wheat). RNAcentral's name for it is "bacterial SSU rRNA". The stretch from base 2 to 867 matches the Rfam family "Bacterial small subunit ribosomal RNA", at positions 9 to 873 of the family's 1533-position model. Lineage: Eukaryota; Viridiplantae; Streptophyta; Magnoliopsida; Poales; Poaceae. The record is from RNAcentral.
UGAGUUUGAUCCUGGCUCAGAAGGAACGCUAGCUAUAUGCUUAACACAUGCAAGUCAAACGUUGUUUUCGGGGAGCUGGGCAGAAGGAAAAGAGGCUCCUAGCUAAAGUUGUCUCGCCCUGCUUCAAAACUACAGGGCGCGCGCUACGGCUUUGACCUAACGGCCUCCGUUUGCUAGAAUCGGAAUAGUUGAGAACAAAGUGGCAAAUGGGUGCGUAACGCGUGGGAAUCUGCCGAACAGUCUGGGCCAAAUCCUGAAGAAAGCUCAAAAGCGCUGUUUGAUGAGCCUGCAUAGUAUUAGUUAGUUGGUCAGGUAAAGGCUGACCAAGCCAAUGAUGCUUAGCUGGUCUUUUCGGAUGAUCAGCCACACUGGGAUUGAGACACGGCCCGGACUCCCACGGGGGGCAGAAGUGGGGAAUCUUGGACAAUGGGCGAAAGCCCGAUUCGGCAAUUUCGCAUGAGUGAAGAAGGGCAAUGCCGCUUGUAAAGCUCUUUCGUCGAGUGCACGAUCAUGACAGGACUCGAGGAAGAAGCCCCGGCUAACUCUCUGCCAGCAGCCGCGGUAAGACACGGGGGGGGGGGGCAAGUGUUGUUUGGAAUGACUGGGCGUAAAGGGUACAUAGGCGGUGAAUCGGGUUGAAAGUGAAAGUUGCCAAAAAGUGGCGAAAUGCUCUCGAAACUAAUUCACUUGAGUGAGACAGAGGAGAGUGGAAUUUCAUGUGUAGGGGUGAAACCUGUAGAUCUACGAAGGAACGCCAAGAGCGAAGGCAGCUCUCUGGGUCCCUACCGACACUGGGGUGCGAAAGCAUGGGGAGCGAACAGGAUUAGAUACCCUGGUAGUCCAUGCCAAAAAUGAUGAAUAUUUGCCCUGGGUCUAGAUGGGAUAUCACGGCUACAAAAGGUUGCGGCGGCGGAAAAGUGUUCUCGUGGAUGCAUCUGUUGGUUUGGGGAUAUAUGGGAAUAUAUAGGAGAAAGAAUUAGGCCAGGAAGUGCAGGAGGGGCCCACAAGGGUGGGGGCGCGCCCUACCCCCUAGGUGAGCCCUCCAUUGUCGGUGAGGACGACACCUAUUGGAUCACUGGGAUCCCUUCUAUGGUCGGCGAGCGCGGGGUCGUAAGAAGAGCAGGUUUAGGAGCUAGCACAUGGAUCGUUUACCCAGGUUCGGGCCGCGAGGAUGCGUAAAACCCUAGUCCUACUUUGGUGGAUGUAUUGAGUGUUCUUGGGCUUUCGAACUAGCUAUGGUGGCCGUGUAGUUCCAAAAAGCCGAAUCCCUCUCCUGGUCGCCUCAGGCCUCCUUUUAUAGGGAAAAGGGGUUGCCAUAGUGGCACACAGGAGGUGGAAAGGCCUACAGUGCGCGAGCUUAUCGCACGACAUUACGGGACAAAGUGCAUUAAAUGCGCUACUUAGGUGUCCAUUAGCUUUAUCGGGGACGGGAACGAGG